RNAcentral lists this signal recognition particle RNA (99 nucleotides) under bacterium. RNAcentral's name for it is "signal recognition particle sRNA small type". It matches the Rfam family "Bacterial small signal recognition particle RNA". From Rfam's summary of the family: The signal recognition particle (SRP) is a universally conserved ribonucleoprotein involved in the co-translational targeting of proteins to membranes. Archaeal SRP consists of a 7S RNA and homologues of the eukaryotic SRP19 and SRP54 proteins. The record is from RNAcentral.
GGCCGGGUCCUGUGCGACCGGGACCCGUGAACCGAGUCAGGGCCGGGAGGCAGCAGCUCUCAGCGGGCCCUCCGGAGCGCCGCAGAUCACCUGGCCGCC